This is a non-coding RNA of Trichonephila clavipes, 73 nucleotides long. The record is from the annotation of a GenBank genome assembly. Lineage: Eukaryota; Metazoa; Arthropoda; Arachnida; Araneae; Nephilidae.
AACCUUGUAGCGCAAUUGAUAGCGCGUUGGACAUCUAAUCCAAAGGUCGUGGGUUCGAAUCCCAUGUGGGAUG